GACGAACGCUGGCGGCGUGCUUAACACAUGCAAGUCGAACGGAAAGGCCCUGCUUUUGUGGGGUGCUCGAGUGGCGAACGGGUGAGUAACACGUGAGUAACCUGCCCUUGACUUUGGGAUAACUUCAGGAAACUGGGGCUAAUACCGGAUAGGAGCUCCUGCUGCAUGGUGGGGGUUGGAAAGUUUCGGCGGUUGGGGAUGGACUCGCGGCUUAUCAGCUUGUUGGUGGGGUAGUGGCUUACCAAGGCCUUGACGGGUAGCCGGCCUGAGAGGGUGACCGGCCACAUUGGGACUGAGAUACGGCCCAGACUCCUACGGGAGGCAGCAGUGGGGAAUAUUGCACAAUGGGCGGAAGCCUGAUGCAGUAACGCCGCGUGCGGGAUGACGGCCUUCGGGUUGUAAACCGCUUUCGCCUGUGACGAAGCGUGAGUGACGGUAAUGGGUAAAGAAGCACCGGCUAACUACGUG
Molecule: ribosomal RNA, 468 nt
Filed under: uncultured bacterium
Lineage: Bacteria
Description: partial 16S ribosomal RNA
Rfam family: Bacterial small subunit ribosomal RNA
Source: RNAcentral